RNAcentral lists this ribosomal RNA (467 nucleotides) under uncultured bacterium. RNAcentral describes it as "partial 16S ribosomal RNA". It matches the Rfam family "Bacterial small subunit ribosomal RNA", at positions 28 to 507 of the family's 1533-position model. The record is from RNAcentral.
GACGAACGCUGGCGGCGUGCUUAACACAUGCAAGUCGAACGGAAAGGCUCCAGCUUGCUGGAGUACUCGAGUGGCGAACGGGUGAGUAACACGUGGGUAAUCUGCCCUGCACUCUGGGAUAAGCCUGGGAAGCUGGGUCUAAUACUGGAUAUGACCUUUCUCCUUAUGGGGUUUGGUGGAAAGUUUUUCGGUGUAGGAUGAGCCCGCGGCCUAUCAGCUUGUUGGUGGGGUGAUGGCCUACCAAGGCGACGACGGGUAGCCGGCCUGAGAGGGUGAUCGGCCACAUUGGGACUGAGAUACGGCCCAGACUCCUACGGGAGGCAGCAGUGGGGAAUAUUGCACAAUGGGCGGAAGCCUGAUGCAGCGACGCCGCGUGAGGGAUGACGGCCUUCGGGUUGUAAACCUCUUUCAGCAGGGACGAAGCGUAAGUGACGGUACCUGCAGAAGAAGCACCGGCUAACUACGUG